This 253-nucleotide ribosomal RNA is filed under the name uncultured bacterium. Its description in RNAcentral is "partial 16S ribosomal RNA". It matches the Rfam family "Bacterial small subunit ribosomal RNA", at positions 524 to 776 of the family's 1533-position model. The record is from RNAcentral.
GACGAACCGUGCGAACGUUGUUCGGAUUCACUGGGCUUAAAGGGCGCGUAGGCGGGUGUCCAAGUCCGGGGUGAAAUCCCUCGGCCCAACCGGAGAACAGCCUCGGAUACUGGACGUCUCGAGGGGGGUAGGGGCACGCGGAACUUCCGGUGGAGCGGUGAAAUGCGUAGAUAUCGGAAGGAACGCCGGUGGCGAAAGCGGCGUGCUGGACCACUUCUGACGCUGAUGCGCGAAAGCCAGGGGAGCAAACGGG